Molecule: long non-coding RNA, 584 nt
Organism: Saccoglossus kowalevskii
Lineage: Eukaryota; Metazoa; Hemichordata; Enteropneusta; Harrimaniidae
Source: RefSeq, a predicted model, not a curated record
UUAGGUCGGCGUUUACUAAAUGGAAAUGGUGUGAAACAAGCUCGUUAUAUGGCGUCUGUUCCGGCAGUGGAAACUUUUAAAUAUGGCAGCAUUCAACUCAUUAGUGGUGUAGUGUUAGGUGUGGCUUGCUGGGGUUUUAUUUACUCGAAAGGCGUCGAGCUCUGUCUAGAGCCAUCUAGAAAUGUCAGAAUUGAAGAUUGGCGAACGCUCAGUAAACGUGACUAAAUAUUCCAAGAAGCGAAGAUUUAAUUGGAUAUUAGACAGAGGACUGGAAUGUGGGAUAUUUUCCCGACAUGCACCAGGAACGUCAGCCAUAAAGGCGUUAAUUAGAUUAGAUAUACAACUAGAUAAUUGUAGUUUUUGUAUAAACAAACCUCCUGUAAAAUGUGCCAUACCGGUGAAAUGAACAUUCACUGUACAUUUCACUUGUAUAUUUACAAAUAUAUCGGGUCUUGCAGGGUAUUUUAUCUUUUGUACACUUUUCGAAAUAUGUUUGAACACAUUCAUACUCCUUUUACCGUAGAUCAAAUGCAGCGACUGCAACUUUUGUUGGUAUUAUUAUUAAAAUUAAAAUUUUAAAUGCG